Molecule: ribosomal RNA, 464 nt
Filed under: uncultured bacterium
Lineage: Bacteria
Description: partial 16S ribosomal RNA
Rfam family: Bacterial small subunit ribosomal RNA
Source: RNAcentral
CCUCGGGUCGCAGCAGUGGGGAAUAUUGCACAAUGGGCGCAAGCCUGAUGCAGCCAUGCCGCGUGUAUGAAGAAGGCCUUCGGGUUGUAAAGUACUUUCAGCGGGGAGGAAGGGAGUAAAGUUAAUACCUUUGCUCAUUGACGUUACCCGCAGAAGAAGCACCGGCUAACUCCGUGCCAGCAGCCGCGGUAAUACGGAGGGUGCAAGCGUUAAUCGGAAUUACUGGGCGUAAAGCGCACGCAGGCGGUUUGUUAAGUCAGAUGUGAAAUCCCCGGGCUCAACCUGGGAACUGCAUCUGAUACUGGCAAGCUUGAGUCUCGUAGAGGGGGGUAGAAUUCCAGGUGUAGCGGUGAAAUGCGUAGAGAUCUGGAGGAAUACCGGUGGCGAAGGCGGCCCCCUGGACGAAGACUGACGCUCAGGUGCGAAAGCGUGGGGAGCAAACAGGAUUAGAUACCCCUGUAGUC